This 30-nucleotide non-coding RNA is filed under the name Mus musculus (house mouse). The record is from RNAcentral. Lineage: Eukaryota; Metazoa; Chordata; Mammalia; Rodentia; Muridae.
UCAUGAAGACAUCAAAUAAACCCUGGAAGU